GAACAAGGUCUCCGUAGGUGAACCUGCGGAGGGAUCAUUA
This 40-nucleotide ribosomal RNA is filed under the name Curvularia lunata. RNAcentral describes it as "partial 18S ribosomal RNA". Lineage: Eukaryota; Fungi; Ascomycota; Dothideomycetes; Pleosporales; Pleosporaceae. The record is from RNAcentral.